This 395-nucleotide unclassified non-coding RNA is filed under the name soil metagenome. RNAcentral's name for it is "partial contains 5.8S ribosomal RNA, internal transcribed spacer 2, and large subunit ribosomal RNA". The stretch from base 1 to 122 matches the Rfam family "5.8S ribosomal RNA", at positions 35 to 154 of the family's 154-position model. The record is from RNAcentral.
GAUGAAGAACGCAGCGAAAUACGAUACUUGGUGUGAAUUGCAGAAUCCCGUGAACCAUCGAGUCUUUGAACGCAAGUUGCGCCCGAAGCCAUCAGGUUGAGGGCACGUCUGCCUGGGCGUCACAUAUCGUUGCCCAAUGCCUAUUGCAGUGCAAUAGGAAUUUCUAGGGCGAAUGAUGGCUUCCCGUGAGCGUUGUUGCCUCGCGGUUGGUUGAAAAUCGAGUCCUUGGUAGGGUGUGCCAUGGUAGAUGGUGGUCGAGUUAGAACGAUACCGAUCAUGUGCAUGCUCCCCAAAAUAUGGCCUCUAUGACCCACACGCGUCUUUUGACGCUCAUGACGAGACCUCAGGUCAGGCGGGGCUACCCGCUGAAUUUAAGCAUAUCAAUAAGCGGAGGA